Molecule: transfer RNA, 73 nt
Filed under: Candidatus Woesearchaeota archaeon
Lineage: Archaea; Nanobdellati; Candidatus Woesearchaeota
Description: tRNA-Trp
Rfam family: tRNA
About the family: Transfer RNA (tRNA) molecules are approximately 80 nucleotides in length. Their secondary structure includes four short double-helical elements and three loops (D, anti-codon, and T loops).
Source: RNAcentral
GGGGACGUAGUAUAACCCGGCAUUAUGGGGGCCUCCAGAGCCUCGGAUCAGGGUUCAAAUCCCUGCGUCCCCA